RNAcentral lists this unclassified non-coding RNA (297 nucleotides) under Hevea brasiliensis (rubber tree). Lineage: Eukaryota; Viridiplantae; Streptophyta; Magnoliopsida; Malpighiales; Euphorbiaceae. The record is from RNAcentral.
AAGUGAAAGGUAAGUUCUAUAAAACUGUGGUCAUACCAGCUAUGUUGUAUAAGAGUGAAUGUUAGGUGUCUAAGGCAUAACAUACCCACAAGAUGAGAGUGACAAAAAUAUAGAUAUUAAGAUGAAUGUUUGGAAACACGACAAUGGAUAAAAUUAGGAAUGAUCAUAUCAACCAGAGAGUGCAUGUAGCACACAUUGGAAAUAAAUAAGAGCUUGAUUACGAUGGUUUAGUCAUGUCUAACGUAAGCUUUCGACUGCCUCAAUACAAAACCAUGAUAAGUUAGUGGUGGAAGGAGU